UUGAGAGAUCAGUCGGACACGAUUGGCAGGGAGUGCACGUGUGUUUUUAUGAGAAUUAUGCCGAGAUAGGUAACAGAUGAGGAAGAAAUUUGGGCUUGAUUGAAGUAAUGUCAUCACUUAAGGCAAGGACCGGCCACUUACACUUCUUUUGUGGUGGAAUGUCAUCAGUUCAGGUGGGGCAGGGCAUAUUCACUUCUUUUGAGAUAUUU
This 209-nucleotide long non-coding RNA is filed under the name Homo sapiens (human). Its description in RNAcentral is "non-protein coding lnc-GJA10-19:1". The record is from RNAcentral. Lineage: Eukaryota; Metazoa; Chordata; Mammalia; Primates; Hominidae.